Molecule: transfer RNA, 62 nt
Filed under: Ptilodactylidae sp. 2 ACP-2013
Lineage: Eukaryota; Metazoa; Arthropoda; Insecta; Coleoptera; Ptilodactylidae
Description: tRNA-Cys
Source: RNAcentral
GUCUUAUAUUCAAAAAUGAUUUUAAAUUGCAAAUUUAAAGGGGGUAUUAAACCUAAGGCUUA